Long non-coding RNA from Anthonomus grandis grandis, 1034 nucleotides. RefSeq lists it as uncharacterized. NCBI's taxonomy places the organism in Eukaryota, Metazoa, Arthropoda, Insecta, Coleoptera, Curculionidae. The record is from RefSeq and is a predicted model, not a curated record. The transcript has 3 exons.
UAAAACAAUUUUCACGUCGACUGUUCUAUUUUCCAUUUUCAUUUUGAAAGUCAAUUAGGUAAAUGGAAAGAUGAAUAGAAGCUAAAAUUAAGCUAGUAAAAUAAACCAUUGAAAUAAAAUAACCGUCACUUGCUUUAACAACCCCUGCAAUGAAAUUUAUCUACUAAACUUACCCUAUGUCGCCCAAACCCUAAAUUGAAAAAAACAAUUAGAACUAGGUAUAUGAAUUUUGCUGCCAAAAUAUUAAAUUAUAUAAUUUAUCAAACCGACCGUGAAAAAAUAAAUUUUAGUGCGCCCAUGACAUGCCAAGCUCAAACAGCAAUGCUCAAUGACAUCUGAAUUUGACAAGUCAGUUAAAUUCAGAUGUCAAUGUCAACCCAACAAAACAAUAACAUAAUUCACCUGGAGAAAUUAUUAUUUUUUAACUAAUAUUUAUUGGAAAACUUCAACACAAAUUAUUUGCUAAAUAAAACUGAUGAAAAUCUCAUAACUUCAUUCAAGUUCGCAUAUAUUUUGCCAGUGUGGCCUUUGUUUUGUGUACUUAGAAUGAUUACAAGGAGAAGAAUUGCAUGUUUUAACUGCUGAUUAGACUACACAACCAGAAAUAAAUAAGCUAAAUGAAGUAUGUUAGGAUACCCAGAGAUCAUGAAAUGUGUUUGAUAGGGCUCAGACCAUGCACUUAAGGACAUCCGUCAAGAAAUCAUUGAGAUAUUGAUGAAAUUGGGAAACCAGGAAGAACUGCCUGUCUUUACUGUUGGUUAGAGUACACAGCCAGAAAUAAAUAAGCUACAGGAAGUAUGUUAGGAUUCCCCAGAGAUCAUGAAAUGUGUUUGAAGGGAUAUGAAUCAGCUUUUUUGUUAUCUUGAAUAGGCAAAAUGGCACGAGAAUCUUCCAACUGGACCCAAAGUCUCUAUUUUUGGUUAGAAAAUAAAACUUAUUUAAUGUUUAUGUUCCAUGACCUGUUUAUUGUUUUAUUAAAUUUUGUCAUACAGUUAUUUAGUUUUAAUAAUUAAAGAGAAAAUUGAUCUAUAGUA